GUCCCGUGUGGCUCAGUUGGUAGAGCAUGGCGCUUUUAACGGCAGGGUUGUGGGUUCAAUUCCCACUGGGGACC
Molecule: non-coding RNA, 74 nt
Organism: Oncorhynchus masou masou (cherry salmon)
Lineage: Eukaryota; Metazoa; Chordata; Actinopteri; Salmoniformes; Salmonidae
Source: the annotation of a RefSeq genome assembly